Molecule: long non-coding RNA, 595 nt
Organism: Molossus molossus (Pallas's mastiff bat)
Lineage: Eukaryota; Metazoa; Chordata; Mammalia; Chiroptera; Molossidae
Exons: 3
Source: RefSeq, a predicted model, not a curated record
AAUGAACAGAACCAAGUUUUGUCUUAAAGGGCAAAAGAAGGGAAAAGGACCAUGACUGUGUCACGGAGACGGGCACUUGUGCCCGCAUGUGUUUUCCCUUCCUCUGUAUUAAUAGAGCCUCUGAGUUUCCGCUGGACACAUGACCGUUCAAAAUACAAACAUUUCUCGGCUUUCAUCGCGGCCACCCAUGAACGUGUGAUUUAAUUCUUACAAUAGAGACAUAGAAAGGACACCAAAGCUGCUGUGAAUGGCUUUGGCCAUUGCUCAUUAUAACAAUAAGAGAUUAAGAACUGAUAGGAGCUACUGAUGUACUGGUGAUGGCAGGAAAAUAACAGCCAUUAUUACAAGGCAGCUUUUCGGCUUGGACUGCAAAGGGCAGCUUGGUUUGGUACGGAGAUUGCAGAGUGCUGUGUGCUCACUUCCGGUUUCCAGCUUGUAGUUUUGGGGUGAGUGUGCACGUACGGCAUGGGGCAGAAGUGGGUUUCCCGCUGUGAGUACACAAAAUGCAGAGCUCAUUCUUUUAUUAGUAACGCUUGUGUUAUUUCCCAUAAGCACAAGUGUAAACCUACUUUUGUCCCACCCUGUAUUGUAAUAG